Non-coding RNA from Triticum aestivum (bread wheat), 115 nucleotides. Lineage: Eukaryota; Viridiplantae; Streptophyta; Magnoliopsida; Poales; Poaceae. The record is from Rfam.
GUAGUACUCCCUCCGUUCGGAAUUACUUGUCACAAAAAUGGAUGUAUCUACAACUAAAAUACAUCUAGAUACAUUCAUUUGUUAGACGAGUAAUUCCGAAUGGAGGGAGUAUGUA